CGUGAGGGAAAGGCGAAAAGAACCCCGGCGAGGGGAGUGAAAAAGAACCUGAAACCGUGUACGUACAAGCAGUGGGAGCCUCUUUUAUGGGGUGACUGCGUACCUUUUGUAUAAUGGGUCAGCGACUUAUAUUCUGUAGCAAGGUUAACCGAAUAGGGGAGCCGAAGGGAAACCGAGUCUUAACUGGGCGUUAAGUUGCAGGGUAUAGACCCGAAACCCGGUGAUCUAGCCAUGGGCAGGUUGAAGGUUGGGUAACACUAACUGGAGGACCGAACCGACUAAUGUUGAAAAAUUAGCGGAUGACUUGUGGCUGGGGGUGAAAGGCCAAUCAAACCGGGAGAUAGCUGGUUCUCCCCGAAAGCUAUUUAGGUAGCGCCUCGUGAAUUCAUCUCCGGGGGUAGAGCACUGUUUCGGCAAGGGGGUCAUCCCGACUUACCAACCCGAUGCAAACUGCGAAUACCGGAGAAUGUUAUCACGGGAGACACACGGCGGGUGCUAACGUCCGUCGUGAAGAGGGAAACAACCCAGACCGCCAGCUAAGGUCCCAAAGUCAUGGUUAAGUGGGAAACGAUGUGGGAAGGCCCAGACAGCCAGGAUGUUGGCUUAGAAGCAGCCAUCAUUUAAAGAAAGCGUAAUAGCUCACUGGUCGAGUCGGCCUGCGCGGAAGAUGUAACGGGGCUAAACCAUGCACCGAAGCUGCGGCAGCGACGCUUAUGCGUUGUUGGGUAGGGGAGCGUUCUGUAAGCCUGUGAAGGUGUGCUGUGAGGCAUGCUGGAGGUAUCAGAAGUGCGAAUGCUGACAUAAGUAACGAUAAAGCGGGUGAAAAGCCCGCUCGCCGGAAGACCAAGGGUUCCUGUCCAACGUUAAUCGGGGCAGGGUGAGUCGACCCCUAAGGCGAGGCCGAAAGGCGUAGUCGAUGGGAAACAGGUUAAUAUUCCUGUACUUGGUGUUACUGCGAAGGGGGGACGGAGAAGGCUAUGUUGGCCGGGCGACGGUUGUCCCGGUUUAAGCGUGUAGGCUGGUUUUCCAGGCAAAUCCGGAAAAUCAAGGCUGAGGCGUGAUGACGAGGCACUACGGUGCUGAAGCAACAAAUGCCCUGCUUCCAGGAAAAGCCUCUAAGCAUCAGGUAACAUCAAAUCGUACCCCAAACCGACACAGGUGGUCAGGUAGAGAAUACCAAGGCGCUUGAGAGAACUCGGGUGAAGGAACUAGGCAAAAUGGUGCCGUAACUUCGGGAGAAGGCACGCUGAUAUGUAGGUGAAGUCCCUCGCGGAUGGAGCUGAAAUCAGUCGAAGAUACCAGCUGGCUGCAACUGUUUAUUAAAAACACAGCACUGUGCAAACACGAAAGU
Molecule: ribosomal RNA, 1351 nt
Filed under: Escherichia coli
Lineage: Bacteria; Pseudomonadati; Pseudomonadota; Gammaproteobacteria; Enterobacterales; Enterobacteriaceae
Description: partial 23S ribosomal RNA
Rfam family: Bacterial large subunit ribosomal RNA
Source: RNAcentral